RNAcentral lists this ribosomal RNA (354 nucleotides) under uncultured bacterium. Its description in RNAcentral is "partial 16S ribosomal RNA". It matches the Rfam family "Bacterial small subunit ribosomal RNA", at positions 338 to 690 of the family's 1533-position model. The record is from RNAcentral.
CCUACGGGUGGCAGCAGUGAGGAAUAUUGGUCAAUGGCCGGAAGGCUGAACCAGCCAAGCCGCGUGAGGGAGGAAGGCGCAGAGCGUCGCAGACCUCUUUUGCCGGGGGACAAAAGGCCGGACUCGUCCGGUCCUGAGGGUACCCGGAGAAAAAGCAUCGGCUAACUCCGAGCCAGCCACCGCGGUAAUACGGAGGAUGCGAUCGUUAGCCGGAUUCAUGGGGGUUAAAGGGUGCGCAGGCGGGCCUUUAAACCGGCGGUGAAAUCGCGGGGCCCAACCCCGCCGAGCCGUGGGAACUGGGGGCCUUGAGUGCGGCGGAGGCAUGCGGAAUGCGCGGUGUAGCGGUGAAAUGCA